AUGCAGUCGAGCGAGAACAUCCCCUUCGGGGGAUGAGUAAAGCGGCGAACGGGCGAGUAACACGUGAGUAAUCUGCCCUUGGGUUCGGGAUAACACCUCGAAAGGGGUGCUAAUACCGGAUAAGACCACGGGGUCGCAUGGCCCUGGGGGAAAAGGUGGCCUCUCCAUGGAAGCUGUCGCCUGGGGAUGAGCUCGCCGGACCAUUAGCUUGUUGGUGGGGUAACGGCCUACCAAGGCGAUGAUGGUUAGCCGGCCUGAGAGGGUGAACGGCCACACUGGAACUGAGACACGGUCCAGACUCCUACGGGAGGCAGCAGUGGGGAAUAUUGCGCAAUGGGGGAAACCCUGACGCAGCAACGCCGCGUGAGUGACGAAGUCUUUCGGGAUGUAAAGCUCUGUCAGAUGGGAAGAAAAGCAUGACGGUUAAUACCCGUUGAGCCUGACGGUACCAUCAGAGGAAGCCCCGGCUAACUCCGUGCCAGCAGCCGCGGUAAGACGGAGGGGGCAAGCGUUGUUCGGAAUUAUUGGGCGUAAAGGGCGCGUAGGCGGUUUGGCAAGUCGAAUGUGAAAGCCCCUGGCUCAACCUGUGAAUGGCAUUCGAAACUGCCAGACUUGAGUGCGGGAGAGGAGAGUGGAAUUCCCAGUGUAGCGGUGAAAUGCGUAGAUAUCGGGAAGAACACCGGUGGCGAAGGCGGCUCUCUGGACCGUUACUGACGCUGAGACGCGAAAGCUAGGGGAGCGAACGGGAUUAGAUACCCCGGUAGUCCUAGCCCUAAACGAUGGGCACUAGGUGUAGGAGGUGUCGACCCCCCCUGUGCCGAAGCUAACGCAUUAAGUGCCCCGCCUGGGGAGUAUGGUCGCAAGGCUGAAACUCAAAGGAAUUGACGGGGGCCCGCACAAGCGGUGGAGCAUGUGGUUUAAUUCGACGCAACGCGAAGAACCUUACCUGGGCUUGACAUGGGUUCGAUAGGUACAGAGAUGUGCCCUCCUUUCGGGGCGGAUCCACAGGUGCUGCAUGGCUGUCGUCAGCUCGUGUCGUGAGAUGUUGGGUUAAGUCCCGCAACGAGCGCAACCCUUACCCUUAGUUGCCAGCGGGUUAUGCCGGGAACUCUAAGGGAACUGCCAGUGAUAAACUGGAGGAAGGUGGGGAUGACGUCAAGUCCUCAUGGCCCUUAUGUCCAGGGCUACACACGUGCUACAAUGGCCCGUACAAAGGGUUGCGAACCCGCGAGGGGGAGCCAAUCCCAAAAAACGGGUCUCAGUUCGGAUUGGAGUCUGCAACCCGACUCCAUGAAGGCGGAAUCGCUAGUAAUCGUGGAUCAGCAUGCCACGGUGAAUACGUUCCCGGGCCUUGUACACACCGCCCGUCACACCACGAAAGCCAAUUGUACCCGAAGUCGCUGAGCUAACCCUUUCGGGGGAGG
Molecule: ribosomal RNA, 1424 nt
Filed under: uncultured prokaryote
Description: partial 16S ribosomal RNA
Rfam family: Bacterial small subunit ribosomal RNA
Source: RNAcentral